AGAGUUUGAUCAUGGCUCAGGACGAACGCUGGCGGCGUGCUUAACACAUGCAAGUCGAACGGAGGUUGCGGAGUAGUAAUACAAAGCAACUUUAGUGGCGGACGGGUGAGUAACACGUGGGUAACCUGCCCUAUGGAGGGGGAUAACACAAAGAAAUUUGUGCUAAUACCGCAUAAUGUAUCAUCAGCGCAUGCUGAUGCUAUCAAAGAUUAUAUUGCCAUAGGAUGGACCCGCGGCCCAUUAGCUAGUUGGUGAGGUAACGGCCCACCAAGGCAACGAUGGGUAGCCGACCUGAGAGGGUGAUCGGCCACAUUGGAACUGAGACACGGUCCAGACUCCUACGGGGGGCAGCAGUGGGGAAUAUUGCACAAUGGGGGAAACCCUGAUGCAGCAACGCCGCGUGAGCGACGAAGGCCUUCGGGUUGUAAAGCUCUGUCUUCUCUGACGAAGUAAUGACGGUAAGAGAGGAGGAAGCCACGGCUAACUACGUGCCAGCAGCCGCGGUAAUACGUAGGUGGCAAGCGUUGUCCGGAAUUAUUGGGCGUAAAGGGUGCGUAGGUGGCAGUUUAAGUGGGAUGUGAAAUACCUGGGCUUAACUCAGGGAUUGCAUUCCAAACUGGACUGCUAGAGUGCAGGAGAGGAAAGUGGAAUUCCCAGUGUAGCGGUGAAAUGCGUAGAGAUUGGGAGGAACACCAGUGGCGAAGGCGACUUUCUGGACUGUAACUGACACUGAGGCACGAAAGCGUGGGGAGCAAACAGGAUUAGAUACCCUGGUAGUCCACGCUGUAAACUAUGAGUACUAGGUGUAGGGGGCGAAGCCCUCUGUGCCGCAGUUAACACAAUAAGUACUCCGCCUGGGAAGUACGAUCGCAAGAUUAAAACUCAAAGGAAUUGACGG
This 898-nucleotide ribosomal RNA is filed under the name uncultured bacterium. RNAcentral describes it as "bacterial SSU rRNA". It matches the Rfam family "Bacterial small subunit ribosomal RNA", at positions 8 to 916 of the family's 1533-position model. The record is from RNAcentral.